GAUGAAGAACGCAGCGAAAUGCGAUAAGUAAUGCGAAUUGCAGAAUUCAGUGAGUCAUCGAAUCUUUGAACGCACAUUGCGCCCCCUGGCAUUCCGGGGGGCAUGCCUGUCCGAGCGUCAUUUCUGCCCUCAAGCACGGCUUGUGUGUUGGGUGUGGUCCCCCCGGGGACCUGCCCGAAAGGCAGCGGCGACGUCCGUCUGGUCCUCGAGCGUAUGGGGCUCUGUCACUCGCUCGGGAAGGACCUGCGGGGGUUGGUCACCACUAUAUUUUACCACGGUUGACCUCGGAUCAGGUAGGAGUUACCCGCUGAACUUAAGCAUAUCAAUAAGCGGAGGA
RNAcentral lists this unclassified non-coding RNA (337 nucleotides) under soil metagenome. Its description in RNAcentral is "partial contains 5.8S ribosomal RNA, internal transcribed spacer 2, and large subunit ribosomal RNA". The stretch from base 1 to 120 matches the Rfam family "5.8S ribosomal RNA", at positions 35 to 154 of the family's 154-position model. The record is from RNAcentral.